CAAGAUAAGAGUUGCAGAAAGUGGGUGGUAGUAUAAAUCAAGAUUGGUUAUGAGUUGAGAAUUUUUGAGUAAUAGGUAUAUGGGGACUAAGUAUUCUAUUCUUCAUACUUUUACAUGCCGUAAAUCCCCACUUAUCUGCAGGGAAUGUGUUCCAAGACCCCCAGUGGAUGCCUGAAACUGAGAAUAGUACUGGACCCUGUAUAUACUGUGUUUUUUCUUUCCUUAUUGAGAACUUUUAUGUUUUCACUUAAAGGAAGGACUUUACAGCUUCUCUUUCGCAUAUCCAAAUUGCCAGCAUCACCGCUCUUGCACUCCAAGCCAUUAUUAAGUAAAGUAAAGAACACAAACACUGUGAUACUGCUACACUUGAUCUGAUAACCAAGAAGUCUACUAAGUGACUAACAGCAGAGCAACUGGGAACCUAAUUCUGACCAAAAAGGAGGAAUUGUUUGGCUAAUUGGAAGUGACAGAAACCUUGGGAGAAAGCAACCGCAUACCAAGGAUAAUUAUAAGAAGAAGAGAAGACAUGGAGAAGAGGAGGGAGUAGUUGUGACCGUGGAGGCAGAGAAUGGAGUAAUGUGAUCAUAAAUCAAGGAAUGCUGACAGCCACUAAAGCUGGAGAAGGCCAAGGACAGAUAUUCAAUCCUCCCGUAGAAGUACAGCCCUGCUAAUGCAUUGAUUUUGGACUUCUGGC
RNAcentral lists this long non-coding RNA (694 nucleotides) under Homo sapiens (human). Its description in RNAcentral is "non-protein coding TMEM161B-AS1:32". Lineage: Eukaryota; Metazoa; Chordata; Mammalia; Primates; Hominidae. The record is from RNAcentral.